RNAcentral lists this small nuclear RNA (97 nucleotides) under Peromyscus maniculatus bairdii (prairie deer mouse). The record is from RNAcentral. Lineage: Eukaryota; Metazoa; Chordata; Mammalia; Rodentia; Cricetidae.
GUGCUCACUUCUGCAGCAAAUAUACUAAAUUGGAACGAUACAGAGAAGAUUAGAAUGGCCCCUCCACAUUUCUCAUUUUAAAAAGUUAUUUAUAUGU